GAUGAACGUUGGCGGCGUGCCUAAUACUUGCAAGUCGAGCGAACAGACGAGGAGCUUGCUCCUCUGACGUUAGCGGCGGACGGGUGAGUAACACGUGGAUAACCUACCUAUAAGACUGGGAUAACUUCGGGAAACCGGAGCUAAUACCGGAUAAUAUAUUGAACCGCAUGGUUCAAUAGUGAAAGACGGUUUUGCUGUCACUUAUAGAUGGAUCCGCGCCGCAUUAGCUAGUUGGUAAGGUAACGGCUUACCAAGGCAACGAUGCGUAGCCGACCUGAGAGGGUGAUCGGCCACACUGGAACUGAGACACGGUCCAGACUCCUACGGGAGGCAGCAGUAGGGAAUCUUCCGCAAUGGGCGAAAGCCUGACGGAGCAACGCCGCGUGAGUGAUGAAGGUCUUCGGAUCGUAAAACUCUGUUAUUAGGGAAGAACAAAUGUGUAAGUAACUAUGCACGUCUUGACGGUACCUAAUCAGAAAGCCACGGCUAACUACGUG
This 497-nucleotide ribosomal RNA is filed under the name uncultured bacterium. RNAcentral's name for it is "partial 16S ribosomal RNA". It matches the Rfam family "Bacterial small subunit ribosomal RNA", at positions 28 to 507 of the family's 1533-position model. The record is from RNAcentral.